RNAcentral lists this ribosomal RNA (497 nucleotides) under Leptotrichia sp. oral clone BP2-51. Its description in RNAcentral is "bacterial SSU rRNA". It matches the Rfam family "Bacterial small subunit ribosomal RNA", at positions 8 to 521 of the family's 1533-position model. The record is from RNAcentral. Lineage: Bacteria; Fusobacteriati; Fusobacteriota; Fusobacteriia; Fusobacteriales; Leptotrichiaceae.
AGAGUUUGAUCCUGGCUCAGGAUGAACGCUGACAGAAUGCUUAACACAUGCAAGUCUUUGGCGAAGCUGUGCUUGCACAGCCUAGCCAAGGCGGACGGGUGAGUAACGCGUAAGGGACUUGCCCUGCAGUCAGGGAUAACAGACGGAAACGACUGAUAAGACCUGGUAAAGUCAGGCGGACUCAUGUCCAGCCUGAUGAAAAGGAAUGCUGCAGGAGAGCCUUGCGUCCUAUUAGCUUGUUGGUGGGGUAACGGCCCACCAAGGCGAUGAUAGGUAGCCGGCCUGAGAGGGUGGACGGCCACAAGGGGACUGAGAUACGGCCCUUACUCCUACGGGAGGCAGCAGUGGGGAAUAUUGGACAAUGGGGGCAACCCUGAUCCAGCAAUUCUGUGUGCACGAUGAAGGUCUUCGGAUUGUAAAGUGCUUUCAGCAGGGAAGAAAAAAAUGACGGUACCUGCAGAAGAAGCGACGGCUAAAUACGUGCCAGCAGCCGCGGU